RNAcentral lists this ribosomal RNA (433 nucleotides) under uncultured bacterium. RNAcentral describes it as "partial 16S ribosomal RNA". It matches the Rfam family "Bacterial small subunit ribosomal RNA", at positions 29 to 507 of the family's 1533-position model. The record is from RNAcentral.
AACGAACGCUGGCGGCAUGCCUAACACAUGCAAGUCGAACGAGACCUUCGGGUCUAGUGGCGAACGGGUGCGUAACGCGUGGGAACCUGCCCUUAGGUUCGGAAUAACUCCCCGAAAGGGGUGCUAAUACCGGAUAAUGUCUUCGGACCAAAGAUGUAUCGCCUUUGGAUGGGCCCGCGUUGGAUUAGCUAGUUGGUAGGGUAAAAGCCUACCAAGGCGACGAUCCAUAGCUGGUCUGAGAGGAUGAUCAGCCACACUGGGACUGUGACACGGCCCAGACUCCUACGAGAGACAGCAGUGGGGAAUAUUGGACAAUGGGCGAAAGCCUGAUCCAGCAAUGCCGCGUGAGUGAUGAAGGCCUUAGGGUUGUAAAGCUCUUUUACCCGGGAUGAUAAUGACAGUACCGGGAGAAUAAGCUCCGGCUAACUCCGUG